RNAcentral lists this ribosomal RNA (440 nucleotides) under uncultured bacterium. RNAcentral describes it as "bacterial SSU rRNA". It matches the Rfam family "Bacterial small subunit ribosomal RNA", at positions 28 to 450 of the family's 1533-position model. The record is from RNAcentral.
GAUGAACGCUGGCGGCGUGCUUAACACAUGCAAGUCGAGCGAAGCGCUAAAGCGGAUUUCUUCGGAUUGAAGUUUUAGUGACUGAGCGGCGGACGGGUGAGUAACGCGUGGGUAACCUGCCUCAUACAGGGGGAUAACAGUUGGAAACGGCUGCUAAUACCGCAUAAGCGCACAGUACCGCAUGGUACGGUGUGAAAAACUCCGGUGGUAUGAGAUGGACCCGCGUCUGAUUAGGUAGUUGGUGGGGUAACGGCCUACCAAGCCGACGAUCAGUAGCCGACCUGAGAGGGUGACCGGCCACAUUGGGACUGAGACACGGCCCAAACUCCUACGGGAGGCAGCAGUGGGGAAUAUUGCACAAUGGGGGAAACCCUGAUGCAGCGACGCCGCGUGAGCGAAGAAGUAUUUCGGUAUGUAAAGCUCUAUCAGCAGGGAAGAAA